This 1075-nucleotide long non-coding RNA is filed under the name Monodelphis domestica (gray short-tailed opossum). Its description in RNAcentral is "lncRNA (ENSMODG00000043558.1)". Lineage: Eukaryota; Metazoa; Chordata; Mammalia; Didelphimorphia; Didelphidae. The record is from RNAcentral.
AUUUUCUUCAACGAAAUUGUUAAUUGUUUCUAUGAUUUCUUCUCUAACUUUCCGAUUUUGGAGUAUCAUGUUAUUUAAUUUCCAAUUAAUUUUUGAUUUGGGUCUCCAUGUACCCUUGCCGAUCAAUAUUUUAAUUGCCUUGUGAUCUGAAAAAGCUGCAGUUAAUAUUUCUGCUUUUCUGCAUUUAAGUGCCAUGUUUCUAUGACCUAGUGUAUGAUCUAUUUUUGUGAAUGUGCCAUGUGGUGCUGAAAAGAAGGUGUAUUCUUUUUUGUCCCUAUUUAUUUUUCUCCAUAUGUCUAUUAAUUCUAAUUUUUCUAAGAUUUCAUUCACCUCUUUUACCUCUUUCUUAUUUAUUUUUUGAUUUGAUUUAUCUAAAUUUGAUAGUGGUUGGUUCAAGUCUCCCACUAAUAUGGUUUUACUGUCUAAUUCCUCCUUCAAUUCUCCUAGUUUCUCUAUUAAAAAUUUGGAUGCUAUACCAUUUGGUGCAUACAUGUUGAUUAGGGAGAUUGGUCUAUAGUUUUCUUUCUCUGUUUUUGACCUGCCUGGCUUUGGGAUCAGUAUAAUGUUUGUGUCGUAAAAUGAAUUUGGUAGAACUCCUUCUUGGCUUAUUCUGUCAAAUAGCUUGUUUAAUAUUGGGAUUAGUUGUUCUAUGAAUGUUUGAUAGAAUUCAUUUGUGAAUCCAUCUGGACUUGGGGAUUUUUUCUUAGGGAGUUCUUUGAUGGCUUGUUCAAUUUCUUUUUCUGAUAUGGGGUUGUUAAGGUAAUUUAUUUCUUCCUCUUUUAGUCUAGGCAAUUUAUAUUUUUGUAAGUAUUCAUCCAUAUCACCUAGAUUGCCACAUUUGUUGCCAUAUAAUUAGGCAUAGUAGUUUUUAAUAAUCGCCUUAAUUUCCUCUUCAUUAGAGGUGAGGUCUCCUUUUUCAUCUUGGAUACUGUCAAUUUGGUUUAUUUCUUACCUUUUUUUAAUUAGACUGACUAGUACUUUGUCUAUUUUAUUUUUUUUCAAAGUACCAGCUUCUAGUCUUAUUUAUUAAAUCAAUAGUUCUUUGACUUUCAAUUUUAUUAAUUUCUCCUUUAAG